RNAcentral lists this ribosomal RNA (492 nucleotides) under uncultured bacterium. Its description in RNAcentral is "bacterial SSU rRNA". It matches the Rfam family "Bacterial small subunit ribosomal RNA", at positions 903 to 1397 of the family's 1533-position model. The record is from RNAcentral.
AAAGGAAUAGACGGGGGCCCGCACAAGCGGUGGAGGAUGUGGUUUAAUUCGACGCAACGCGAAGAACCUUACCAAGGCUUGAACUGCAAGGUAAACUUUCCGAAAGGAAAGGUGCUUCGGCGAUCUUGUAGAGGUGCUGCAUGGCUGUCGUCAGCUCGUGUCGUGAGAUGUUGGGUUAAGUCCCGCAACGAGCGCAACCCUUGCUUCUAGUUACCAGCGCGUCAUGGCGGGGACUCUAGAGGGACUGCCGUCGCAAGGCGGAGGAAGGUGGGGAUGACGUCAAGUCCUCAUGGCCCUUAUGUCUUGGGCUACACACGUCCUACAAUGGCCGGUACAAAGGGCCGCAAACUCGCGAGAGUAAGCAAAUCCCAUAAAGCCGGUCCCAGUUCAGAUUGUAGUCUGCAACCCGACUGCAUGAAGGCGGAAUCGCUAGUAAUCGUGGAUCAGCAUGCCACGGUGAAUACGUUCCCGGGCCUUGUACACACCGCCCGU